Molecule: ribosomal RNA, 325 nt
Filed under: uncultured eukaryote
Lineage: Eukaryota
Description: partial 18S ribosomal RNA
Rfam family: Eukaryotic small subunit ribosomal RNA
Source: RNAcentral
CCCUUAGAUGUUCUGGGCCGCACGCGCACUACACUGAUGCAUUCAACAAGUUUUACCUUGGCCGAGAGGCCUGGGAAAUCUUUCAAAUAUGUAUCGUGAUAGGGAUAGAUUAUUGCAAUUAUUAAUCUUGAACGAGGAAUUCCUAGUAAAUGCAGAUCAUCAUUCUGCGUUGAUUACGUCCCUGCCCUUUGUACACACCGCCCGUCGCACCUACCGAUUGAAUGAUCCGGUGAAGCCUCGGGAUUGUGCCCAGAGAACUUUAUUGUGAUUUGGGUGUGAGAACUUGUCUAAACCUUAUCAUUUAGAGGAAGGUGAAGUCGUAACA